CGAGCGCAGGAAUAACGGACCCCUUCGGGGUGAUGUUUAUGGAAUGAGCGGCGGACGGGUGAGUAACACGUGGGCAACCUGCCUGUAAGAUCGGGAUAACUCGCGGAAACGUGAGCUAAUACCGGAUAACACUUUUCAUCUCAUGGUGAGAAGAUAAAAGACGGUUUCGGCUGUCACUUACAGAUGGGCCCGCGGCGCAUUAGCUAGUUGGUGAGGUAACGGCUCACCAAGGCGACGAUGCGUAGCCGACCUGAGAGGGUGAUCGGCCACACUGGGACUGAGACACGGCCCAGACUCCUACGGGAGGCAGCAGUAGGGAAUCUUCCGCAAUGGACGAAAGUCUGACGGAGCAACGCCGCGUGAGUGAUGAAGGUUUUCGGAUCGUAAAACUCUGUUGUUAGGGAAGAACAAGUUGGGUAGUAACUGACCCAACCUUGACGGUACCUAACCAGAAAGCCACGGCUAACUACGUGCCAGCAGCCGCGGUAAUACGUAGGUGGCAAGCGUUGUCCGGAAUUAUUGGGCGUAAAGCGCUCGCAGGCGGUCUUUUAAGUCUGAUGUGAAAGCCCACGGCUUAACCGUGGAGGGUCAUUGGAAACUGGAGGACUUGAGUACAGAAGAGGAGAGUGGAAUUCCACGUGUAGCGGUGAAAUGCGUAGAGAUGUGGAGGAACACCAGUGGCGAAGGCGACUCUCUGGUCUGUAACUGACGCUGAGGAGCGAAAGCGUGGGUAGCGAACAGGAUUAGAUACCCUGGUAGUCCACGCC
Molecule: ribosomal RNA, 767 nt
Filed under: Oceanobacillus profundus
Lineage: Bacteria; Bacillati; Bacillota; Bacilli; Caryophanales; Bacillaceae
Description: bacterial SSU rRNA
Rfam family: Bacterial small subunit ribosomal RNA
Source: RNAcentral